Molecule: long non-coding RNA, 3117 nt
Organism: Micropterus dolomieu (smallmouth bass)
Lineage: Eukaryota; Metazoa; Chordata; Actinopteri; Centrarchiformes; Centrarchidae
Exons: 2
Source: RefSeq, a predicted model, not a curated record
UCAAGAAGGCACAAUGGUAUGCGGAAGGUGCACAAACACCCACUUCCGACUCUGGGAAGCCGGACUGACAAUUACAACACUGUACAAGACAAGAGUACCUCCAUUUGGAUUGCUGCUUGAUAGGUUGAUAGAGGUAGUUUAUAACUUGAUGCCUCGUCAUCGUUGUGUGCUGGCAGAAUUGGAUACUGUUGUUCCUGGUUUCUGAUUGGCUGAUCCAGAAGGAAGGUGUAAACUACCUGAUAAACAAGAAGACUAGGUCAAAACCUAGUAUGUGACCGUGUGUGGUCAGUGUGCUCAGUGUGCCUAUUCAUUUUGAAAGAGUCAGCCAUCUCUUUGCCUAAAAAUUCUGAGUCUCAUUCCCCCUCUAAUCGAAGUCCAAGCCUCCCAGUUUGUCAGGUUUUGGUACUCCUUCAGGCCUUCAUCCCCCCAGCCCAGGCUUGGACCUGUUUGAUCCCUUUUCUCAUCCCCAGGGUUGAACAAAAAUUCUUUCCCUUGACCAUUCCUACUUGAGUCACUGUUAGAUAGUUUUUUCAUUAUUCAAAUCUUACUGCUACUGCCUCUAAUUUAAUUACAAUCCCCCUCCUGAUCCCACUCCAGACACUCUAUUUAACUCUUACCUUUAAGAACAGAAAUGGCCUUGGAAUGAUUAAUUUACACAUUAGAAGUUUGAUGGUGGUGUCAUCUGCGAACUUCACAACAGAGUUCUCUCCAUGUCGGAGAUGCAGUCGUGGGUUUACAGCGUGAACAGGAGGGGGCUGAGCACACAGCCCUGGGGGGCUCCGGUGUUGAGCACUAGAGUGAGGAGGUGAGUCCACCAAUCCGAACUGACUGGGGUGUGAGGAAGUCCAGUAUCCAGGUGCAGAGUGUUGUAUUUAAACCCAGAGUGCUGAGUUUGCUGAUCAGCUUCAUGGGGAGAUUGUGUUGAACACUGAGCUGAAAUCCACAAACAGCAUUCUGAUGUACAGUAGGUACUGUUUUUCUCAGGCUGAGUGGAGGGCAGUGGAGAUGGCAUCCUCUGUGGAUCUGAAAGCUAACUGGUGAGGGUCCAGGAAAGGCUUGUGAUUGGUUAUAGAAUUAUUUGUUUAAGAGACAUCAUUAUGUGAGGUUGGGGAUUGUCCACUCUGAGUUCUUGUCUGUAACAAAACAAAACAAAAUUUUGUUUAGCCACUCUCUUUUGCCCACUUUUCCCAAACCAAGCUAUAAUGAUUUGACUUUGGCUGUAAACAAUUUCAAGGAGUAAUGUAUUUUUUAUGUUAAUGCAAGUCGUGGCAGCAGUUGGUUUAGAAUAAAUAUAAAAAGCCAGAAGAACUACAUGAAACUAUUUUAAAACUAUUAAGUAAAGCUUUGAACAACCUAUUAGUGAUCAAGAAUCAUUAUCAGUAUACAACACAUGGUUGGACAACAAAGUGAAAGUGAAAGUUUGCAGUCCCUUCAUGCUCCACACCUAGAACAUAAUGUAAAACACUCAACAGGUACAUGGACACAAAUAAACCAAUAUACACACCACAACCAAACAAGACAGGUAAACAUGCAGAAACAAGAAUCACAGAACAGACUGACCAAAAUCAAAUAAACAAAACAGGCAGAGAUAAACUAACUAACGCUAAAGAACCUGAGUUGUAACUCAAUUUCUGCUGUGAUUCAAAAUCUGAUUCACAACAUGCAGUCUCUCACCUCACACACCCUUAAAAAUUAAUAAAGAAAAAAACCUCACAAAGUUUCACUCUCACUGCCAGAGCUCUGAGCGUAGACCCAAUGAAAGACUACAGUGUUAGUGGGAGGGAGGGCAGCCAUUUGGACCCUGACUGGGCCUUCAGUCACCCAUGGUUGUCCCGAUUGAGAAAGUACCUUUGAGAGAAACGGACUCACUGAGCUACUUUUGUCCCUGUUCCAGGCCUGGAAGGCUCACCUCAUGGGAAGGGAGGGCUGUAAACAAAACUCACGCAGGACUGUGGUGUCCCAGAGAACCCAGCCAGCACAAGGCAGGGCUGUCGGUGGAGCCAAGCUAAAGCAGGCCUUGUCGGUCGGGGCCAGAGCCAGACCCAUGGGAAGAGGCAGCCGGAUCCCAGCCCUGGCACCUCUGGCCAAAGGACAUACACCAGGGAAGCACACUUAGAAACUAUUCCUCUCCUUGUAGAAGCAGUACUGAGAGGAGAGUAAGAAGGAGGUUUGGUUACAAGCAGAAGACUUUUCCUCCCUUGGCAACCCUGCAGCACACGAUGUUUCAGUCCUACAGACACGGACAACCUGAGUGUAGCUUUGCUGUCAGCUCCACGCUUUGCCAUCUGUUUACAUAUUUAUUUUUAUUUCUUAUCUUAAAUAAAUUAUAUAAAAGAAAUGAAGUAGCACUUUGCCAAAGAGAUGAUUCUUCACCGCAGAAUUUUCAGCACAGUUUGGACUUUAAUUUGUUUUCCUUAAUGCCUACUGACAAUCUUGAGUAGAUGGCACAGUUUUAUAUGCUCACAAGUUGACCUUUUAACUUAACAGAAUUAUUCAAAUGAUAUAAACACAAAAUGCAGAUGAAUGUACGGUAUACAGUAGAAUUUGUAUAGCACCUGUUUUAUGUUGUUUUUUUCAAGUCUACUUGAUUUCUGCUGAAUCAACAAACAGUUUAAGGCACUUCAAUGGCUUUAAAAUGAUUUUAGCCACAAAGUCAGAGUUUAAGAACUCACAAUAAUCACUAUAACUAUAAUAAUAGCUGUAAUUUUACAACUUCUAUAGUACAGUGUUAUGACGAUAUUGAUUGUAAUAUAUCUGUGAUUCGUCUACAGCCAAGAACUAACAGAAACAACCUUAAAACAGUAUGAGGUGUUUACAAAUUGUAAUGAUAGGAGGGUAAAUUCUUAAUUAAUCUGUGUGAGAACAGUAACUGUUGUAUUAGUGGAGAAACAACUAAACAACUUGAUUAGAGUUGGUGUAUGAGAGAGUAUAUUUGGUUUCUAAAUUACCAAUCCACCAUGUUGGCUUAAAUGUGCUUCUGUAUUGAGGACUAUUGCAACAGUGGAUAUUUUAUUGUGUUUUUAUGUGCAUAGAAGUCUGUAUUUACUUUGGCAUCAUUUUUUUUUCUGCAAACGAACCUGUAUUUGUUUAAAUAAAGCUGCAUUAAGUUGAACAUUG